GUAAAGGUAGUACCCUCGUAUCUAGGAUUUCUUACAGUUGAAAUAGAUGUAAAAGUAUUUAUUCUGUACUCUCUUCCUAUUACCUAUUUUCUAUGCAUGUAUGCAUGUACUAUCUAUGUAUCUAUCAUCUGUUUUUUUCCUCAUACAUUUUCCCAGUCAAAGCACUGUCAGCUUCCAGUUCAUGACAAUGGUUAUCCCAUGUUUUAUCAUCCCCUAGUUUCCAAAUUCCCAUUGCAAUGAAAACAAAGAUGGACAAGAGGACAAAGUUUCAUAUCAUUGAAAACCAGAGAAGACACUGAAGAGUUUUUGCAAAUCCGAAGAAGAGAGAAAGACAAGUUUCCCCUGGUAUUUCUGAACAAGCUUAAAAGAAAAUGAAUUCUUCCACUUGGCUCACCUUCUGGGAAGCAUUUAAAUAUCAUUAAUGGAGUCUGUGAACAGAGUACAAGAAUGAUCCCUUCCUUCAAGUAAGAAAUGUCACAGGCAGUCUUUAUAGAGUUUUAGGGACUCUGGAUGCUUGGUAUGGCUGCUAAUAGACUACUGUUCUGAAAACUGUUUUCCUGGAGUCAAAUAUCAGAAGCAGCCUCCAGGAAGUUGCUUUCGGGGAUUCCUUUAGUCCUCUGGGUCCUGUUUCAUAGGAAUACCUCCUGGUUCCUUUCACAUAGGAAUAACCCCUGAGAGUGAGAUUAGGGCGGAUUCCCGAACAUGCUUGAGGUCCAAAUUGGGAAUCUCCCAGAAAUCACUUACAUGAACCCCGAAACCAAUGUUUACCUAAAUGACUGAAAGGAGAAAAUGUGGGCUCUGCCCAUUAUCUUACACUGGCAAAGGUCCCAGUGGCCUCUAUUGCUUUCUUGGCCCCAUGGCAGCUACCUAAUACUGGAAUGCUAAAUUGUACUUCCCAAUUGAUUUAUUAAUGUCAAAGUGUCAACUCUGUUGUGGUUCAGAUAGGAUAUGUGUGUAUUAUGUCCAUAUAAUUUUGUAAUAUGAAUUAUGUUUUGGUGAUGAUUAUUAUUAUCAGCAUACUUUGUCUUACAUAUGAAAUCUACAUUUAAAAAAUGGAAUUAUUCUCUUAAAAUAUUUCCCAUAGAAUUCUUUUAGCAGUAAACUUUUUGACAACUUUCAGUAUUUCUUGUAGAAAGCAAUUCGAAUUUCUUGUUUAAUUUCUUGAUUAGAGAGAUUCAGAUAGGAUUAAGAUAGGACAUUUCCAUAUAUCAAGGAGGAGAAAAAUUACACAUUCAUGACUCUGUAAUAACUUCAGAUUCUGUUUUAUAUUCUGUCAUUCAGUCUUUUACCUGCAGAUAACUUUGAUUCUAUGUAUAUAAAAUUAAAAUUGGUCCAAUACACCAUUUUGAAGGUCUGCCAAAAUCUGAAUCAAAUUAGGUCAGAUCUAAAUUAUUUAAGACAGUAGACCCAAAAUAAAAUUAAGUAAAAUAGAAUGUUUUAUUGAUGCUCACUGUUGCCAAGUGAAAAACUGCUUUGAAAAUGUCACUUCUGUGGAAAUAGUGAUAUUUUCCCACAGGUAGAAUUUUAGCUGGAGUACCAUUAAUUUUUAAAGCAUUCUCAAGGCACCACAGAAUCUAUACAUGAGCAUUUUCUUUUUUUUUUUUUUUAAUUUUUUUUGUUUAUUUAUUUUUGACAGAGACAGAGACAGAAUGCGAGUGGGUUAGGGGCAGAGAGAGAGGGAGACACAGAAGCAGAAGCAGGCUCAAGGCUCUGAGCUGUCAGCACAGAGCCUGACGCGGGGCUCGAACUCACCAGCUGUGAGAUCAUGACCUGAGCCGAAGUCGGACACUCAGCUGACUGAGCCACCCAGGCGCCCCUACAUGAGCAUUUUCAAAAGCAUUGUAAAAUAAAUCAUAGCCAACAUCAGCAGUGAUAACUCAUGAUGAUAUGUUCCCAUGAUAGGAUAUGAGAAUGGUACUUUCCUCUUUCUCCCCAAAACUCAUAAUUUUGAUCUAACGAUGAAAAAAAAAUCAGAAAAACCCCAACUAAGGGUCAUCCUACAAAAUACCUCAUCAGUAUUGGUCAUGACAUUAUCAAGGUCAUCAAAAACAGGGGAAGUCUGAGAAACUGCCAUAGCGUCACGAUGCCAAAGGAGAUAAUGAUGGUUAAAUGUAAUGUGGUAUCCUGGAUGGAAUCUUGGAGGAGGAAAAAAGGCAGUGGGGAAAAACUAUGGAAAUAUGAAUCAAGUAAGGACAUUAGUUAAUAAUAAUAAUGUACCAUUAUGGUCUCAUUACUUGUGACAAAUGUAGCAUAGGAACGUAAAGUGUUAACAGGGGAACUGAGUACGGACUCCAUGAGAACUCUCCAUACUGUCUGCAUCAGUCUUCCAUAAGUCUGAAACUAUUUCAAGACAAAGAGCGUAUAUAAAAAAAAAAAAGAAACCAAAGAUGUAGAAUUACACUAACAUUAUGUAAAGUUAACAAUGUUCCAUCAAAUUUGAGUUGAUCAAGUAAAUAUAUUGCCAUACAUAGGGAUCUAUACCUAAGUGAUAACAGGCCUAAUUAAAAUGGACUAUAAUUAAUAUACAAAAAUAACAUUUUACACAGUACAAAAUAACAUCACUUUGAUCAAUAAGAGAUCCAUGAGAAAUGCUAAUCAACCUUUAUGCUUGGAAGGAUAAUUUUCUGGAAAUGUGCUCUCCUGGGUAAGGAAUGAGCUUACAACUUAUAAACACAGAAAUAGACUGGAGUCACAAUGUCUGAGUCCUAAUUGUACUUGAGAGUCAUUAUGACUAAGUAGGCCAAAAAGUAUAUCUGCUAGGGAUUCUGUGUGUAUUUCCUUUUAGAAUAGUGGCAAUUUAACUUACUCAGUGGUGUUAAGCACACUAAAUAUUUUUUAAGUUAAGACUUAAUUAUAUGUUGAUCUUAACAAUUCUGUUAAGACACAAAAGACUCCCUUUUGCUUUCUGUGUUACUUUAGAAACUGUGGGGUGACACUGAGAUGAAAGAAACCGAUUCGACUUAGAAAUUCUCCUUCUACUGUCAUGUGAAUACUGAUACCAUGAUCAAAACAAGGCAGUGGACAACUCCACGCUGGCUGUCACGGGGUUCACUUAGCCAUUUCUUAUAACCACAAAGGUCUCUUUGGCCACAAUGGCAUUUUAAAAUCUUCUCCUAUUUGUUCAUAAUCUUUCCAUCCAUAAUAUCUGAAAUCCCAUGAUAAAAAAGAAAGACAUCAUCAGGAGAGAUGGAAGAAGUAGUGUUUACUUCCAGUAUGAAAUGUUAUGAUAUAUGCUCUCUUCCACUGGAACUGAAAAAACUUCCAGAUGAGUCUUCCCAGCCUCAGUGCAUGAGAAGAAUAUCAAGACCAUAUAAAAAGGAAGACAAAGCUGAAACAUCCGAAGACAAGCAGAAGUGCCCUUUAGUCAUCCAGUAGCUCUGCUAUUAGAUAAGAAAACCAAAGCUGCUAGAAGACUGAAUCUGGAGAAUAUGGGAAAAAGAUAAUAAUUAAACCAGGUCUGAGUCCAGUCUUAUCUGCUCCUUGAAUAUUAAUUAAAAAAUCUCUGAAUAGUUUUUCAUUUCACUGAUAGUUGAACACUUGAAAGCAUCACUGGAGGAAAUCAGAGACAGAUACACCUUGACUGUAAGAAAUACACUUAAAAAUCUGGUUCCAUCCUUGGUAGGAUGAACAUAGCACUGAUGUUGCAAACCAAGAUUUUUUUGUCAAGAAUAAAUGCUACAUCACAUCAGAUACCAAGACAAUAGGCAUAAACUGGGACUGUUCUGGGCAAGCUUAGAUAAAUGCCCAUCUUAUUUUGAGAAGUUCUAGGAGAACUUAGCAAAUAGGACCUAAGACCCUGCUCUGCUUUGUAAUAGUUCUUUUUAUGGGAGCACAGGAAACAAUUGUCUUGAUCAGAAUUCUUUAUCAGGGUAAGCCACAGCUACUGUGUGCUUCUCUGAAAAGAUUUUAUGGCUGCACAGCAGCAAUAAAAUAAGCAUAAACGGAACUAAAAUCCUAAAUUCUUGGUAUUUAAUUGUACUGACAUCACUACUGUUUGGAAAUCCUAUACCUUGAUUAAAUGGCAUCCUAGUGAGCUGCAGAGCUUGGGACCUCCAAUAACUGAAGAUUCCCAACUUCAGGCUGAAGGCUGAAAGCACCAUGGGUCAUAUCCAAAUACUGCUUGGAAUUGCAUUUAAUCUGCAAUAAAAGAUCUGUGAAACUC
Neofelis nebulosa (Clouded leopard) is the source of this 4162-nucleotide long non-coding RNA. RefSeq lists it as uncharacterized. The transcript has 2 exons. Lineage: Eukaryota; Metazoa; Chordata; Mammalia; Carnivora; Felidae. The record is from RefSeq and is a predicted model, not a curated record.